CAGGCCGUGGCCUAGCAGCUAAGGCGCCUCACUCGGGUUGAGGAGAUCGAGAGUGCAAUUCUCUCCGGCCUGACAA
Molecule: transfer RNA, 76 nt
Filed under: Candidatus Nealsonbacteria bacterium RBG_13_38_11
Lineage: Bacteria; Candidatus Nealsoniibacteriota
Description: tRNA-Pro
Source: RNAcentral